GGUCUGCUAACUAUUCGAAAUUGCUCAGUGUUUCUAGUUAGAUCUUUAGUCUUGUAACUUGUUACGUAUGCACAAUGACGAUUUGAUAUGCUUUCGCUUCUUCUUUGUUUGACUCUCUCUCAUUUGCGUAGUGUUUUAUUUUAAUCCUUCUCAGUUUCUAAUCCAAGGAUUUUCUUUCUUGUUUUGUAGUUUGUAGUUAAGUUAAUUAGAGGUUCCAAAAGAAGAAGUUGGUUUUAGUUUUGUCUUUCUUCCUUUUCUUUUGGCAAGAAGAUCAGAAAUAUGGCUGAGGAAGUCGUUUUAAGGGUAGUUCGAGCACUUAAAGGCUCCAUCCUUAGGCAAGUGAAGUUCUUGAGUGGUGUCAACCAUCAAGUUCUGGAUGCAAAACAUUAGCUAUUUUUUAUAGAGGGUUUUCUGAAAGACGUGAAUGCAAGACAAGUAGAGCAUGAAUCAGUAUGCAUUUUGGUCGAGUAUUUGGUGAAAGAAGAAAAACUCUACCGAGUUGUUUCCAUUUGAGGAAUGGGAGGAUUUGGAAAGAUCACUUUUGCAAAACGAGUUUAUCAUCACAGUAAAGGAUUUGGAAAGAUUACUUUGAUGGGUUUUCUUAGGUGUGUGUACUGAACAAUGUCAAAUAGGAAAGUACACACAUCCAAGAAAACCCAGACUUUCUUAUUUGACAUUGUUCAAUGCACACACCCAAGAAAACCCAUCAAAGUAACCUCUAACUUUACUGUGAUGAUAAACUCGUUUUGCAAAAGUGAUAUAUCCAAACCCUCCCAUUCCUCAAAUUGAAACAACUUGGUUGAGUUUUCUUCUUUCACCAAAUACUCAACCAAAAUGCAUACUGAUUCCUGCUCGACUUGUCUUGCAUCCACGUUUUUCAGAAAGCUCUCUAUAAAAAAUAGCUCAUGUUCUGCAUCCAGAAAUGGUUGACACCACUCAAGAACUUCACUCCCCUAAGGAUGGGGCCUUUGAGUGCUCGAAGUACCCUUAAAAUGACUUCCUUAGCCAUAUUUCUGAUCUUCUUGCCAAAAGAAUGGGAAGAAAACUAAAACCAACUUCUUCUUUUGAAACCUCUAAUUAACUCAACUACAUACUACAAAACAAGAAAGAAAAUUUCUGGGUUAGAAACUAAGAAGAAUUAAAAUAAAACUCUCCGCAAAUGAGAGAGAGUCUAACAACGAAGAAGCAAAAGCAUAUCAAAUCGUCAUUGUGUAUACGUAACUAGUUACAAGACUAAAGAUCUAACUAGUUAGCAGACCCAAAACUCCAAGGGGUCAACUUCAAACCUCCCAAGAUGAUUUUAGGAACUUGUACAUGAAACAAAAAAAAUACCCAAAACAAAAAAUGAAGCAUAUCACUAUGAACCAUACCCUAAUUAUCAGUUAAGAAAAGAUGAAAGUGAUAGGGUUUAUGUCAAAACCCCAAACAAAAGCCGUGUUUUCUCCAUUCACCUCUUUUCCCGAGGACUGUGAAAUACCAGUGGAACAAUUGACUUAAUUAUGGAUAGCUGAAGGUUUUAUAUCAGCAUCUACAAAUAAAAAGAUAGAAGACAUAGCAUAUGAGUGCUUAAUUGAGUUGAAACGCUUGUGUUUGGUUCAAGUUGGAAGAAUGUAUUCACUUUGCAAGUUCAAGUUGGAACGUCUCCAUGAUCUUAUUGUUGCGAGUUAUACAUUAGUUAAAAUGUAAAUAGUAGUUUAUUGUCCCACAUUGGUGAAGUACAUAUGUAAUACCAAUUGUAACUCCUAUAUAUACUCCACUUUGGAGAUUAAUGAAAUAUAAGAAAUUCCCAAAUAUUGUCAUAUAUAUUUUUGGUAUUUACCAUGUUUAGUUUAAUAUUGGUAUUUACCAUGUUUAGUUCAAUAUGGCAUCAGAGCAGUUCGCUCUUGGUGACUUGUGUGCUUUAAAUUUUGUGCCCACAUUUUUCGUGAUUUCCUCCGUGUGAAAAAAAAAAAAAAAAAGUGCCGUGAACAGUGAUUGGUAUUUGCUACAGUACCGUGAACAGUGAUUGCUACAGUCUCUGGUAAAUUGUUUUCAUUCCGCUGCGUAUCUUUUGUGCCUUUAUUGUUCGUGAUUUUGUUCAAUGGCUCAAUAUAAUCAUAGUGUUGUUAUGCAUCUUGGUGGAACAAAUAAAUGGAUAAUUGAUACUGGGGCCACUAAUCAUGUGACAAGUGACCCUAGAGUGUUUGAUGAGUUAUGUGAUUAUGUUCGUGAUCCGUAUAUUACUAGUGCAAAUGGAGCACUUUCCCUUGUGAAGGGUGAAGGCACUAUCUCUUUGACUCCAACCUUAUCACUGGUCCGUGCUUUACUUGUUCCUGAUAUUAAGUGCAAUCUUUUGUCGGUAGGAAAACUUCUUGAUACUUUAUAUUGUUCUGCUCACUUCUAUCCUACGUAUUGUUAUUUUCGAGAUAUUCAAACUUAGAAGAUAAUUGGUUAUGGUAAAAGGAUAGGGGGUUUGUACAUCUUGACUAUGGAGGAUACUGUUGUUUCCGGUUCAAAUAAUCAUCAAGUUUUAAGUGCUAAAGUGGAUAACAGACAUCAAAUUUGGUUGUGGCAUCGACGAUUGGGACAUCCAUCAUUCAGUUAUAUGAAGCAUCUAUUUCCUUCUUUGUUUCGCACUUGUAGUGAUUCAGAGUUCAAGUGUGAAACAUGUGUCAUGGCUAAGAGUCAUCGUGCUUCCUUUCCUGUAAGUGAUUCUAAAGCUACUUUACCAUUUGAUUUGAUACAUUCUGAUGUGUGGGGUCCUGCAAAAGUUACUUCUAAUGGAUUCCGUUGGUUUGUUACUUUUAUUGAUGAUUGUACUCGGGUAACUUGGGUGUUCUUGAUGAAAAAUAAGAGUGAUGUUCCGUUACUUCUUCAAGAAUUUUGUACAAUGGUAUCUACUCAGUUUCAGACCAAAGUUAAGGUCUUCAGGUCUGAUAACGGAGGAGAAUAUGUGAAUCACACUUUGGCAUGUUUUUUUCCGUGAUCAUGGUAUUAUUCACCAGACGACUACUCCGUUUACACCCCAACAAAAUGGUGUGUCCGAACGGAAGAAUCGUCAAAUAAUGGAGGUUGCUCGCUCCUUGAUGCUAGAUAAAUGUGUUCCUAAUCAUUUGUGGGGUCAUGCUGUUUUGGCUGCUGUGUAUUUGAUCAAUCGUGUUCCAAGUCGGGUUCUUGAUUUUCAGACACCGUUUGAUGUGCUACAAAAACAUGUUUCUCUUGUUUCUGUCUCAAAGCUUCCUCCGAAAGUGUUUGGGUGUAUUGCGUAUGUGCAUGUCUACUCUCAUCAGCGGAGUAAACUUGAUGCAUGUGCUCUCCGGUGUGUCUUUAUUGGGUAUGCUAACAAUCAAAAAGGCUAUAAGUGUUAUCAUCCUCCGACUCAAAAAACUUAUAUUACCAUGGAUGUCACCUUCCAUGAGGAAGUUUCGUAUUUUGUGAAGCCCUCUUCCGACUCUCCACUUCAGGGGGAGAGGGGGAGUGAAGUGCAGAUUCGAAGAGAUGAUAUGGAUGAUGUGUUACAGACAGAGUUGGGAACAGAACCUAUUAUUUUGCGUGAUACUAAUCAGUCGGCUACAGAUGAUCAGUUGCCUGCUGCGGAUAUAUCUGAUGAUCGGUUGCCUGCUGCUGAUAUGUCUAACGAGUUGCCUGAUGAUGGUUCGUCCAGUGAUGAUUCUUCUAACUGUUUGGUACAAGAUGGUGGCAUACAUGAGGUAAAUUCUGACGAUUCUUCUACUUAUCAGUUGCCUCCACGAGCUAAUCGUGGAAAACCUAAAAUACAAUAUGAGCCUGAUAUGCAUGCCAAAGCCAAAUAUCCUAUCAACAAUUAUGUGUCUUCUCAUCGUUUGUCCCAACCAUAUGCAUCUUACAUAUGUCAGCUAUCUAGUGUAUCAAUUCCAACAAAAUUGCAAGAUGCUUUGUCUGACCCUAAGUGGGUUAAUGCUAUGAAAGUUGAGAUGGAAGCUUUGGAAAAGAAUUCUACUUGGGAUUUGGUUCCGUUACCAAACGGGAAGAAAGCCGUUGGAUGUAGAUGGGUGUUUACUAUUAAGCACAAAGCAGAUGGUUCUAUUGAUCGGUAUAAAGCCAGAUUAGUUGCUAAGGGUUAUACUCAAACCUAUGGGGUGGACUAUCAGGAGACCUUUGCUCCUGUUGCCAAACUUAAUACUGUGCGUGUUCUUCUGUCCUUGGCAGCAAACCAGGAUUGGCCUCUGUUGCAGUUUGAUGUUAAGAAUGCUUUCCUUCAUGGUGAUCUUAAGGAGGAAGUGUAUAUGGAUCUCCCACCUGGUAUUGGAACAUCUCCUGGAAAAGGUAUUGUAUGCAGGUUACGAAAUGCCUUGUAUGGUUUGAAACAAUCUCCUAGAGCAUGGUUUGGGAGGUUUACAAGUUCAAUGAAGAAGUUUGGGUAUAUCCAGAGUCAUUCAGAUCAUACUUUGUUUCUAAAGCGACAAAAUGGUAAGCUAACUGCAUUGAUUAUUUAUGUUGAUGACAUGAUAGUGACUGGUGAUGAUCAAAAGGAGAUACAACACCUUCAAAAGUACCUAGCUACUGAGUUUGAGAUGAAAGAAUUGGGUGAAUUGAAGUAUUUUCUUGGAAUCGAGGUUGCACGAUCCAAGCAUGGUAUUUUUCUAUCUCAAAGGAAGUAUGUUCUUGAUUUGUUAGCUGAAACAGGUAUGUUAGAUUGCAAACCUGUUGAUACUCCGAUUGAGCAGAAUCAUCGUCUGGGCUUAUUUCCAGAUCAAGUUCCAACUCAUAAGGAACGGUAUCAGAGGCUUGUGGGGAGAUUAAUUUAUUUGUCUCACACUCGCCCUGACAUUGCUUAUGCAGUUAGUGUGGUAAGUCAGUUUAUGCACUCACCUAGUGAAGUUCAUAUGGAUGCAGUAACUCGUAUUUUGAGGUACUUGAAGAUGGCUCCUGGCAGAGGCCUGGUUUUCUCCAAGAAUGAUCAUUUGAAUGUCGAAGGGUAUACAGAUGCAGAUUGGGCUGGUUCUAUCACUGAUCGGCGAUCUACAUCUGGAUACUUUAUGUUUGUGGGUGGUAAUUUAGUUACUUGGAGAAGCAAGAAACAAAAAGUGGUGGCUAGGUCAAGUGCAGAAGCUGAGUUUCGUGGUAUGUCUCAUGGUGUAUGUGAGUUGUUGUGGUUGAAAAAAUUGUUGAGAGAUCUUGGGUUUAAACACAAAAGUGCUAUGAAACUUCAUUGUGAUAACAAGGCUGCUAUUGAGAUUGCUCAUAAUCCAGUGCAACAUGAUCGAACAAAACAUGUGGAGAUUGAUCGACAUUUCAUUAAGGAAAAAUUGGAUGCUGGAAUUAUUAUGUUUCCGUUUGUGAGAUCUGAAGAUCAACUGGCUGAUGCUCUUACUAAGGCUGUGUCUAAUAGUGCGUUUUCCGACUCGCUUGACAAGUUGGGCAUGCGUGACAUCUUUGCACCAACUUGAGGGGGAGUGUUGCGAGUUAUACAUUAGUUAAAAUGUAAAUAGUAGUUUAUUGUCCCACAUUGGUGAAGUACAUAUGUAAUACCAAUUGUAACUCCUAUAUAUACUCCACUUUGGAGAUUAAUGAAAUAUAAGAAAUUCCCAAAUAUUGUCAUAUAUAUUUUUGGUAUUUACCAUGUUUAGUUUAAUAUUGGUAUUUACCAUGUUUAGUUCAAUACUUAUAUGAGAGCAUCUUAGAGGCGAACUUCGUACAUUGUCAAUUGUUCUAGAGACACGGUAAAAGUAUGUUAUACUUUCUUGUAUUCAUUAAGCCUUUUCUUUUGUUUGGUAAGAUUAUUCUUGUUGUAUCCAUUAUUUUGAUUGGAAGAUUGAUCGCUGCCUAUGGACAUAGGCACAAAUUGACGAACCACGUAAAUCCUUGGGCCUCGUUUGGCAGCUCGGAUUGUACUAACUAUUUCUGUUGGAUAGGAUAAAUAGCCACCGGAUAGUAUUGAAUAAAUUAGUUGGACGUUUGGUGCAGUAUCAGAUUAAUGACCAUAUUAUUUAUACUGUGUUUGGUAUUGAACCGGAUAGGACAAGAGGAAAAAAAAAUUAAUUUGUUGAAAUUUUCUCAUAUUUAUACCUAUUGAAAACCACACAAAUUUUCAAAUAACAAAGAAAAAUAGUAAAUUUCAUACAUCAAAUUCAAAAUAUUUUCCAAUAACAUAAAAGAAGGUUCACAAAAAAACAACUACAAUCGUUACGUUAUAUAAUUCAACCACAUAUUCAGGUUCAUUAAAUAUACAAAUACAAGUUGGUUUCAGUAAGAAACAGUUUGUCCAGAUAGCCAAAAUAUAUGCAUGCUGCUUUUAACAAAAGAUAUGCAUGAUAUUUUUAACAAAACAUAUUGUUGUUGGUUUGAAAUGUCAAUUGCGGUUGUCCAAGUAACAUGAGUACGAAAGCUUUUUUCAUUGCACCAUCCAAAGACAAGAAUGUCCUCUCAUUCUGUGGCUUUUCAAAAAGAAUAUUUAGUGUCUUGAUUUGAUCCUCAAUAGAUAAGUCCUCUCAUUCUGUGGCUUUUCAAAAAGAAUAUUUAGUGUCUUGAUUUGAUCCUCAAUAGAUAAAUCUAUCUUUGACAAUUCUAAAGCAAUCUCAGGUUUUGGAUCCACUCAUUUCCCAAAAGCAGCUUGUAAAACUUCAUCCAACUUAUCCAUUGAUUUAGAAAGCAUUUCUUUAAAUGCCACAGGAAGAUCAUUAUCAUUAGCAACUCUCUUCCUUUUCCGGGUACUUGAACUGCCAGACCGUCGAGCAACAGAAGGAGAACUAGUCUCCACCUCAUCUUCAUCUUCAUCUUCAUUAAUGUGCGCAAGCUAAUUCAUCAUCUGAGUAGGAGUUGUAGCUCCUACUCCGGUUGCUCGGUCUUUCCCAAAAAUAACAUUCAAUCUGUCAUACAAUGGAAACGAUUUUCCUAGCCAGCCCUCUGCUUCUUUGUUAACCUGCAAUGGGAAAACAAAUCACAUUAUCCAUAAAAUACAAAUAAUCUUAUUUUGUUCCCUUCAACCUGUCUUAAUAUAAUCAAGCAUCCAUUAAUUUAAUUAAGCUGUCAUAAUGAAUGGGGCUAAAGGAUAUGGUUUGGUAGACACAAUCAUACUAUUAAAUUGUAUGUAAAGGAACAUGUUAAGUAAUCAAAUAUGUAAAGUUAAAUUCUAGUAUUAUGUUAGAGAAUUACGUUUGCAUAGGACCGCCAUACUUUAGUGCUAUCAACCUCAAUACACUUUCGUACAUCAUUCCAUGCAAAACCAGUUUUAUUAACCAUGUCAUAAACUAUUGCAUAAUCUUUUUUCCACCUCCUCAUUUUGGACUCAAUAUAUGGAACUGCCUUUAUAUUGGCAUUAGGACAUUUCAAAUUAAUAGUUGUUUCAAACUGAGCCAUUGUUCCGAGUUUGAAACAACCGUUAUCACAUCGCAAAUUCUUAACAACUGCCUCCUCAAGUAUGGACAACAAUGCAUCUUCUUCAUGUUGUUUCCAAACCCUUUUACUCCCUUUUGGUUGACUACUUUGUUCACUUUCCAUUCCUAUAAUUACAUACACAAUAAGAUAGCAUAUAAUCAACAGUGCAUAUAAUUAAUAGUAAGUGAUAAAAACCAUAAGCAGAUCAUCACACUUUUUAAAUAAAUACAUAACCAUAUCACACUUUGUUCAAAUAAAGUAUCAUAACCGAAUACAUAAGAAAUCACUAUUUGUUCAAAUAACAAACCAUAACCAAAUGACAACAUGCAUAUGUAAGAAAAUUUAAUCAAAUCACACUUGUGCACGCCACUCAUUGUACAUAUUCAUAGCCAAAGUGUUUCUCCAUGCAGUCCAUUCUUGUGUAGGUUGAACAGUCUCAAUCAUAUCUUCAUCAUCAUCACUACUUUCAGAUUCGUCCAUGUUUAGAAUUUCAUUUUCUAUCGGAUCAGCUGACAUAUGCCUUCUAAUAAGAUUAUGUAAGAGGCAGCAGGCUGUCAUAAUCCUAAGUUGUGUUUUAAUUGGGAAAAAUGAUGGACCUCUUAAGAUGCUCCAACGCAUCUUAAGUAGUCCAAAACAUCUCUCAAUGACAUUUCUAGCUUGAACAUGUUUCAUAUUGAAAUACUCCUCAUGAUUAAUUGGGAGUCUUCUAUUUCUCCACUCCGAGAGAUGGUAACGCACUCCCCUAUACGGUGCAAGGUAUCCUGGACCAUUUGUGUACCCACCAUCCACAAGGUAGUAACACCCUAAAACACCAAAAAAUGUAUGUUACUAUAUAUAAGAAAAUUGAGGCUUCAAAUUACUAAUAUAAACAAAUAAUCUAUUGUUGCCCGUGGGAACUUUUAAUCCCGAUGGUCUACUUAUCGCAUCUCGGAGUACUCUAGAAUCAAAGGCCGACCCCCUGGGUACACAAAUAUAAAAUUCAUGUCCAGAUUACAAACUCCCAACAUAUUGGUCGCAAUCUCCCCCUUCCUUGAUCGGUAUCUUGGUUUAUCUCGCUUAGGGACAUGAACGUUAAUGUAAGUCCCAUCCAAUGCCCCCAAGCAAUUCUAAAAAAAAAAAUCAUUAACAUUAGUAAGCUCAAUAUAUUUAAUUACAUUAAUUUUAGAAGUAAUUUUUAUAAAAUAUGAAGAAUACCUCAAACCAACUCCAUUUAGGAUUUGGGUAGGCAUUAGGAAUGGGUUUUGGCACUUUCAAAAGUCUACAUUGUAGCCUUAACACUCCAUGUAGAAUGGAAUUGAAAUACCUACUUAUGGUCUCCCCUGAUCGACAAAACCUACUCCCAAUUGUACGAUUCUUGACAUGAUGUGCAAGUAUAUGCAAAAACAUGCAAACUUGUUCUUCCAUUGUCACUACACCAUCCAAUUUUACUCUAUCGUGGUCACGAAGCAUUUGACAUAAAUAAUGGAACGUUCUUCUAUCCAUUCUAAUUUGGUUCACACACUGAACAUCAUCAUAUCCUAUUAUGCUGUCUAAAUAGGCUGACCCUACCAUUCUCCUAACAAAUGUGCAAUUUCUAAGUGCAAGUUGCCAAUUCCGCCUUCUAGCUGAAUUAUGAUUCAUCAUGAACCACAUCAUCAACCAAGUCACAAUAUUCAAGUACCACAACUUAACAAUGAAGCAUGCACAAUCUUUCUUUCAUCCAUGUCUAGUGAAAAUAUAAAAUAACAUUAUUAGAUAGUGGCAAAAAAUUAAGUAACUGGAGCAUGAAGUCAUAAUAACACUGAAAACGGAAGGAAGCAUGUUAAUAAGUCCUACCAAAAAAUGUCAUAGGCAGAUAAUAAAUCCUACAGACUGUUGGGGUGAUCAGAAGGAAAAAUUACAAUGAAAUCAGAAAGAUGUCUUGACAUUCAUCAAUCAAGGAAGCAUGUUACGAAUCGAAUUCAAAAAAUCAAAACACCAAGUUCCGGAGAGAAAAGAAGUCUAGUCUAUGAUGACACUUUGUACGACCUCAAAGCAUUAUAUAUUCAUCACCUUAUGUUGCAUCAAAAUUGAGUGUCAUGUUGCAUCAAAAUUAAGCCGAAACAUUAGAAGAGCAGCAACUCUCCUUUUCUUCUCUAUUUCUCACUCACACUCUUUUUCUAAAAGGCAAUUACUUUACAAAGUGGAAUAAAUGCCAAUCAACAAUUCAACAACCCUAGUCCGAAAUUAUUCACACACACAUAUAUAUAUCCAGAUAAAAAGUAAAAUUCACAUAAAAAUUAAAAAAUGGAUAAAAGCUGAGAGGGAGUGAUGCAAAAAUUGAGAAGAACAGCAAUUUAUUGGGAUCUAAUUUUCGGGCCAUAGACGGUGAUGGGGAGUGAGAGAGAGAGAGAGAACAAGAGCGAAGAGAAAUUGGCUUACCCAGUUGUCCGUAUGGUUGCAUUGCAGCUGCGAGACAGCGAGUGAAAUGAGAGCUGCGCCAGAGACAAAGUUUUGUUUAGGUAAGUGAACAUGCACACUCCCACUCUACCCAAUCACUAAAGUUCUAAUUAAAGUUCAACAGCAACAACAAACCCUAAAUUCGACCCUAAUAGCAAACCCUAAAAUUCAAAAAUUCUAAUUAAAACACAAAAUUACAUAAUCAAUUGCAUAAUUAGAGAGAAAAUAAUAACUAGAUUCAAUCAAUUGCAAGAAAAAUAGGAGGGGGAAAAGGGAGGGGUGGAAUCCCAGAAGAAGAAAAGUAAAAGAUGAACUGUGAUUCAAACGAAGAAGAAGAAUUUGAGAAGACGAACCUGGGAUGAGAGCAAGAGUGCGUCUGGAGAGCAAGAGUGCGUCUGGAGAGGAAGAGAUAGCGUCUGGAGAGGAAGAGAGAGCGUCUGGAGAGGAAGAGAGAGCGCCUGGAGCGGAAAAGUGCGUUUGGAGAGGAAGCAGAAGAAGAGUGCGUCUGGAGAGGAAGGGGAAGAGUGCGUCUGGAGAGGAAGAGAGCCCGACUAAGUUAUACCAUGAAAUUGGAUGGUUUAAGCAAGCGGGUAAACACCAUGUAAAAAAGGUGGGCCCGGAUUAUUUAAUCUGGUGCCUAUUUAAUCCAAACAGCCACCAAACACCGUACACCGUAUUAUUAGUACUAUCCGGUGCCUUAUACAAUGUGCCAAACAGGGCCUUGGUGUCCAUCUUGCUACUGUACUUUGUGUUUUCUCUAUCCUGUAGUACUAUCAAUCUUAACAGUCUAGGUACAAUAACGAGUGAGCGUGUUAUUUUAUGAGCAUUGACUAUAAUUUAUAUGGAAACAACUCUUGGAUUUCCCUAUUAAAAUAGGAAACUAACACGCAAUUUCAAUCUAACUAUGUGUGUUAAGUAUCAUGAUUCAUUUAAAGUUUCAAUCCCAAACUAAUUAGGACAACAUUAAACUCUUUAUUAAGAUCUUUUCAUACCAAUUUGAAACACUAUAUUAGUCCAUAUAAUUGGAAAUCUAUCUAGUCAUUUAAGAAAAAGAAAAGGCCUAAUUGGAUAAAUGGUCCCCGUGGUCAUAAGGUAUUCGGAUGAUAGCCCCUGUGGUAAAAAAAUUCGGAUUUAAACUCCUGUGGUCUAAGUCUGUUAGGAUUUAAACCCCUGUGGUCUAAGUCUGUUAGGAUUUAUGCCAUUCUGUUAAAUAAUGCUAACGUGGCUGCCACAUAUAUGCCACGUGGCUGCCAAAUGUCUGCCACGUGGCAAAAAAAAUAAUUUUUUAUUUUUUUUAAAAAAAACCUGAAUUUUUACAAAAAAAAAAAAAAAACCAGAUCUGCAAGAAGAAGAAGACGGAAGAGGGAGAGGGAGGAGGGGGCGAGGAGAGGGCUCCGGCGAGGGGGAGCUGGUCUCCGGCGGGAAGAAGAAGAAGAAGAAGAAGAAGGAAGAGGGAGAGGGAGGAGUCGCGCGGGGAGACCGGCGGGAAGAAGAAGAAGAAGGAAGAAGGAGAGGGAGGAGGGUCGCGCGGGGAGAGGGCUCCGUCGGGGGGGGGAGCUGGUCUCCAGCGCGAAGAAGAAGAAGAAGAAGAAGGAGAAGAAGUCCGGCGGGGUGGGGGAACGGGUGGAGGGCGGGGGGGGGGAGUUUUCUGGGUUUCUGGUUUUUUUUUUUUUUUUUUUUUUUUUGGUAAAAAUUCAGGUUUUAAAAAAAAAAAAAUUAUUUUUGCCACGUGGCAGACAUUUGGCAGCCACGUGGCAUAUAUGUGGCAACCACGUCAGCAUUAUUUAACCGAAGGGCAUAAAUCCUAACAGACUUAGACCACAGAGGUUUAAAUCUGAAUUUUUUUACCACAGGGGUUAUCAUCUGAAUACCUUAUGACCACGGGAACCAUUUAUCCGAUUAGGCCAAAAGAAAACCAAUCCCUCUGUGGGAAGGAAACAAAAUUUAAUUUCAAGGUUAGCGACGCUUAUGAACUUGUGGAACGAGAGAUGUGCACAUCCCUCUCCAAUCAAAACAAUAAGAAAUGAAUGCAAUCAUUAACAAACUACACGUAUCAACGAAAUAAUACGUUUUAGCGGUCGAGUGAUAUUUUUAUUUCAACAAGCCUGUGGAGCCUGAUCAUCUAUUUACACACUACUAACGCUUAUUCCUCCAAGGGUAAUACUACUUCUCUCUCAUCCCAUGCUAUGUACUCGUUCCCAUGAUUUGGGACUUGCAAGAUGCUAGACACUUUUUUAAUACAUACGAUAUUAUCUGCAUUAAAGAAUAAAGGAGUGAGCUAAGCCUGAUAAUGGAUUAACCAUAAUAACUUGGUUCGAAUUUACUUUUGGGAAAAUUAAACAUAAGACAUCUCACAAGAAAAGAAGAAUACCAUAAAAUACCACUAGACUGUAAUAACAUAAGAGGAAUGCAAGACAAACAUAAAAGGGAAUGCUGGCAAUGACUCAUCUAAGUGCACUUAAUGUUGUUUUUAUCCUUUUAAGUGGUUCACGUAUUGUCCACGUGACAAAUAUAUACAUAACUUCUGAUGCAAUGUUGAGUGAUAAUUUAGCAACGGAGAGGUUGACACGACUGAAAUAAAACUUCAACAUGACUGAAAUAAAAACUCCAUGUAUUUUUUACUGAAAUAAAAACUCCAUGAAAAACCUAACACGAACUUACAAGUUUGGCAAAUAAAUGGACAAAAAAACCUCUAUGAAGGUUGAAAGAUCAAUAUUCAAAUUGUAUGUAUUCCUUUCUUUUUAGUGGCAUUUCCAAUUAGGGGUGGGUUCGGUUCGGUUUUUUGUCAAAACCGAAAAUCGAACCGAAAUUACUGUUCGGAUCAAUUUGGUUCGGUUUUCUAUUGGUUUGUAUUCAGUUCGGUUUUUUUGGAUCCAAUUUCGGCCCGGUUUGAUUUUUUUUUUUUUUCCAAUAGCAAAAAAAAAGUCCUAAGAAACAUAAGCACCCAAAAUAUAUGAAUAAUACUAUUGAAGAUGACUUCUCCAACAUGAAACGACCAUCAGAAAUUCCAGCCCACGUCUCUGCAAAGGUCAUAACAUUACAGCAAGGUUAAAGAUGUGAGUCCCAAACUUCAACACAGUCAUGGCAAUUUGAUCUCAUUGAGUUUGAACUUGAGCUUGAGGCCCUUGAGACCUUUGACACCAUUGACUUCAUCUAAUUCACACAAAAUAAUAAGAGGAUAAAUGAAAUUGAACAACACUAAAUUUAAAAUACAAAAAUAGUAGGUUUCCAUAUUCAUGUCCAUGCUUUCCAGAUUCAUAUAAAAAUAUUUUUCAAUUACUAUAUAGAGUGUAAUGCUCCAGAACUCCCUAAUUCCAUAUUGACAAACAAAAUCAGAAGGCCUACCAUCAACGUUCAUCACAAAAUCAGAAGGCCUACAAUUACUAGUUCUAAGUUCUAAGUUCUAACAUAGUAGACACUGCAAACCAACCAAUAACUAGUUCUAAUCAAUAACAGGACACUCCAUAGAGUGAACUUGGGCAAAAUAUAUGCAUCAAAAUCUAAAGAACCAAUGAAUAAGAAAUUGACAAACUGGGAAGCAAGCUGACCUCAACACAAAUUUUCAUCACCAGUGCAGAAAAAUAAGCUCAAAAUGCAGCAAACAUCAAGUCCCAAACUUUAACAAGUUAUGAGAACCAGUUCUAUGAAAGCACACAUUACGUCCCAAACUUUAACAGGUUAUCAAACAGGUUCAUAGCAGAUACUUGGAAAUCUAAUGGGGUUCAUAAAAAAACUAUAGUUAUACGCUAUAAAUCACGGAAUUUGUUGCCAAACACAAUGGUUUCGACAGGGUUAGAAACUUAGACAGCACUUUUACUCGUUGGGGUUGGCAAAUUUUUCCCAAUCUUGCCUAACUUUCACAAUCAGUUCAACAAGAAAAAGGCAAACAUAUAAGAGAUCCAGAGGAACAAAGAUGGAUGUUUGGUGUGACCUCCAUAUGAAUCCCAGAGUAUAAAACUAUUUGGCAUGUAUUUGAAAGGUAGAGAUCGAAAGUUUAUGUAGAAAGCAAGGAAUAUUAGAAGGGAGUGAAGUUGUUGUAGGUGAGAGUCCAUAGAGAGAGUCUAUCAGACGAGGAGUAGAGAGACAAGAGGCGUAAGAUUUGGAGAGGGAAAACAUGGGGAUUGUCAAGUAAAUUCAUCACAAACCCUACGCCUCUUGUGGUAAUCCUUUGAAAAUGUAAGAUCCAAAUUACAACCAUGGACUUGGCAGGUUGGAGAGAGGAAGAGAGGAAGGAGAGAGAGAGAGACUGAGGAAGCAGAGAUGAAGAAAGCAAUGAAUGGGAGAGUGUUUGAAAAUGAAAAGGGGUGACGGUUCGAUUCGGUUCGGUCCAGUUUUCAGACCUUAAAAAUCGAAACCGAACCAACCAAAUUCGGUUCGGUUUGGUUUAACACAUUCGAUUUGGUUUUUUUCGACCUCGAUUCGGUUUGGUUGUCAGUUUUUUUCGAUUUUCGGUUUUUCCAACCCACCCCUACUUCCUUCAUCCAAAAUCCUCUCUCUCGUCUGUCGUCUACUUUUAAAUGAUUAAUUUCUCACAAGAGUAAACUGUCAAUUUGCCCCCUGAACUAUCACCCAACUUUCGAUUUGCCCCCUGAACUUUUUAAUUGGAAAAUUAAGGACUUAAACUAAUUUUUUUGGCCGAUUUCCCCCCUACCGUUAGUUUUUCAUAAAUUUCAUUCAAAUUAACGUUAACUCUUAUCAUGUGCAAACCACGUAACUCUCAUUUGUGGACAAAAGCGUCAUUUCACUAGACCUUCAAACAGAAAAGCUAUAGAAUCACACAUAUUUGCAUAGGUUUAUAUUUUAGAAAUCUAAGGUUUUCAAUUAUUUUAAAGAAUGAAGUGACCGAACUACCCACACAUGUUGUGCAUAUGCUUCCAUUUAACAGAAAUUUGGAUGGAAUGAAUGAAAAAUUAACAUCAGGGGGCAAAUCGGCCAAAAAAAUUAGUUUAAGUCCUUAAUUUUCCAAUUAAAAAGUUCAGGGGGCAAAUCAAAAGUUGGGUGAUAGUUCAGCGGGCAAAUCGGCAGUUUACUCUUUCUCACAAAAUUUACAGAUAAUAUUGUUAAAUCGAAUCGGAGCGACGCAAUCUGUGAAGAUAGCUCUUCAGUUGACGUCCAUCAUCCCCCUCAUCAUCCUAAUUUCUCUAUGCCUGGUUGCCCCUCUCAUCCACGCCAAGGACGUCAACUAUUGCGGUGGGUUUCUCACACUAACCGUUUUCUCUUUUCCUUUAAUUUAUGAAAGCAUGAUACUUUCCUUUCGGAACAAGUUUUCAAUUCUCUGUUUGUUUCCUGAGAAAAUUGCAAAUUUUCCACCUUACAGUAAUUCAACUAAUUGCUUCAUUGUUUGUAGUCAAAUACGAUUUGGGCUCUUCUGUUUUUGAUACAAUCACAACAAGAAGGAAUCUUUACUAUGUAUAUGCAUCUACACUCUCUAGCUGAUUAGACAAAGUCAACAUCUUUGAUAUGUAUUUGCAAUUUCAAAUUGUUUAAACAAAAAUAUAAAAUUUGGGUUUUGUUUCUCUUUCGAUAGUUUUGGUAUUGGAUUUAUGUAUUCAAUCGAAUGGUAUUUCGGUGUCGAAUUUUGUUAUGGUUUGUUUGGUUCUUGUUAUACUGAUGUUGGUUAAAUGAAACUUAAGCGGAUUUUGGAGUAUCUUCGGAUUGUAGGAAGUGUAGAGCGAUGGAAAUACUUAACAAGUUUAUGAGAAAUCUAAGUUUCUACAGCAGAGCUCUUGUAUUACUUCUUAUUGUAACUCUCUUGAUACAAAAUGAUAUGCCAAAGGCUAUAUAUAUAGUGAAUACAAAGUACUAGAGAGUUCUAACUAGAAAGUUCUUCCUAGAUAACUUAACAGACAUAGGCUAGGAACAAUGACUCUAGAAUAAUUGUUCUUGGGAAAGUCUAGAGUCUUAACAUUUAGGAGAGUGCAUUAAUUCCAACCCAGAUAAGAAGGCUGACUAUGAUGUCAAGGUCUCUGCGGUUGAGAUUAAUCUUUACCCCGUGGCAAGAGGCAAGCUUGCCAGCUUCAGCAUUUCUGAAACUGCAGGUUCUAUCUCACACUUGUAACUUUUUGAGUGAGUUUUUGUUUGCAUGUAAUUGUUAUUAGAUAAACACAAAAACGAAUCAGAUAAUCCAACACUGUUUGAAGAGCUUUUGGGAAUUUAGUUUUAACUAGAGUAAACUCGUAUAUGUGGUAAUAGGUGUAUCAAUCUCUUGGGGGAAAUUGGUGAUUGAGGUUUCAUACUUUGGUUGGCACAUCCACAGUGAGACUCAUGACCUUUGCCGCAGAAACAUCUUGCCCAGUUUCAACCGGUGAUUUUGUGAUUGCCCACUCGCAAGAUUUACCAGGAUAUACUCCACCUAUAAGUCCUCCUUGCCAUAUCUACUUAUUAUAUUAUUUUGGCUUUUAGUGCUACCCGUGAGUUGUCCCUACAAACUUGAAUAAGCCUAUGAGUUUAGUUGUUGGUUUCUGUUUUGACCAAUACAAAGUUUAAGUUGAUCCCGCCUGAAUUUUUUGAAUAGAAUGAAAUAGUUUAUGCUUAACUGUUAGAUUGUCACAUUAGAAAAAGGAUGAAAACAGCCAAAGGUCGUAUUGUAAGUAAUACAAAGGUGCAUUUUUCACGUUUGGGUCUGCUAACUAUUCGAAAUUGCUCUGUUUCUAGUUAGAUCUUUAGUCUUGUAACUUGUUACGCAUGCAAAAUGACGAUUUGAUAUGCUUUCGCUUCUUCAUUGUUGGACUCUCUCUCAUUUGCGGAGUGUUUUAUUUUAAUCCUUCUCAGUUUCUAACCCAAGGAUUUUCUUUCUUGUUUUGUAGUCUGUAGUUGAGUUAAUUAGAGGUUCCAAAAGAAGAAUCUGGUUUUAGUUUUGUCUUUCUUCCUCUUCUUUUGGCAAGAAGAUUAGAAAUAUGGCUGAGGAAGUUGUUUUAAGGGUACUUUGAGCACUCAAAGGCCCCAUCCUUAGGGAAGUGAAGUUGUGUCGCCGAUCAAGUUCUGGAUGCAGAACAUAAGCUAUUUUUUAUAAAAGGCUUUCUAAAUGACGUGGAUGCAAGACAAGUAAAGCAAGAAUUAGUAUGCAUUUUGGUUGAGUACUUGGUGAAAGAAGAAAAACUCAACCAAGUUGUUUCCAUUUGAGGAAUGGGAAGGUAUGGAAAAAUCACUUUUGCAAAACAAGUUUAUCAUCACAGUAAUGUUAGGGGUUACUUUGAUGGGUUUUCUUGGGUGUGUGUACUUAAUAAUGUCAAAUAGGAAAGUCUGGUAAGAAAUUUUAAUUGGACUUACUUCUGACACCAUGAGCUAACACAAAAUAUUGCAAAAUACUGAAAUACUUGAGAAACUUUGCAUCAUCCAACGAGAAAGGAAAUGUUUGGUGGUGUUUGAUGACAUUUGGAGUUGUGAUGCAUGGAACUCUUUGAAAUCUGGAUUUCCAAUUGAUGCAGAAAUAAAAGUCAAAUACUACUCACCACCCAUUGCUCAUAAGUAGCUCCAUGUGUAGACAGAAAUGGUUUGAAUCACAAAUCUCGUCUACAAAGUAAAGAUGAAAGCUUUUUGAGAAGAUAGUAACGUAGUGUACAAGUAAUUUCACACUCAGCUUUGCUAUGCUUUCUAGUUUUAUCAUUGUUUUGUUUUUUGCCUGUGGAAUAUGCUUAGUUUUCUUAUUUAUUAAGCAAGCUUGUUUUUUAGUCUAGAAUCAAUUUAGCCUUAUUAAUAGAUAUUCCCAAAUGAGUUUUUCUUGAUAAAGAAUAGAGGAAAAUGAUACAUUAGAGGAUGGGCGAUGCACUUCAUCGGGCAAAUUCAUCCAGCUUCUAGCAAAUGGCACACGUUCAUAAUUGUGGCAACAAAUUACUUCACCAAAUGGGU
RNAcentral lists this long non-coding RNA (17601 nucleotides) under Malus domestica (apple). RNAcentral describes it as "long non-coding RNA (MDOM_LNC011112)". Lineage: Eukaryota; Viridiplantae; Streptophyta; Magnoliopsida; Rosales; Rosaceae. The record is from RNAcentral.